RNAcentral lists this long non-coding RNA (476 nucleotides) under Gopherus agassizii (Agassiz's desert tortoise). RNAcentral's name for it is "lncRNA (ENSGAGG00000000031.1)". The record is from RNAcentral. Lineage: Eukaryota; Metazoa; Chordata; Testudines; Testudinidae.
AAGCAUUUGAAUAGAGAGAGAUGAUUUCAUUUCAUAGAAUGGCAGAGCAAAACUGGGGCAGAUGUAAGAAUGAAAGAUCCAGAGCAGCAAAUGUAGGCAGAACAUGAAGUCUUCUGUGCGGAAGAGGAGAGCUGAGAGGCAGAUGGGGGGAACUAGGAGGACUUAAAGGACUCCACACAGAGAGACAGAGUCUAGGAGUGGAUGCACAUAUAGCCUGGAAAACAUGGUUCUUUUCACCACAGUGGCUCCAGGGAAGGAGAGGAGGUAAGCAGAGAAGGAAGCUGCUGUAACUAUCUUCCUCCUCUACUUGUUGGGUCCUGCGCUUAUUGGCAGAUUUGCUCAACUCAGUGAUCUUCCCCACAGUCUGGAUCAACUCCUCCUGUGUCUGAUCAGGAGUUGGGAGGUUUAGGGGGAACCCAGGCCCACCCUCUGCUCCGGGUUCCAGCCCAGGGCCCUGUGGAUUGCAGCUGUCUAUA